UGAGCCAUCUACCAUAAGAUUAAGGAGCAAUAUUGGUCGAAGAAUCUCUACAAAGAUGUGGAGGAUUUUGUGCCUUAUUGUACUAAAUGCCAAUUAUAGUCCAAAGUCAAAUUUAGAAAUAAGUUGUAUUCUACCUAUCCACUUGCUAUGCAUUUUCAAUAGAUGAUUGAUUUAGUAGCUAUACCAUUAAGAUUAUGGGGCAUGAAGUAUCUUGUUUUUGCAAAAGAAGAGCUCUUAAAUUAUGUUGAAGGUAGAGAUUUGAAGACCAAGACCAUAGAUGGAGUUUGUAGAUUCAUCUUAGAAGAUAUCUUAAAUAAAUAUAAUAACAUUUGAAGAAUGAGGGUUGAUCAAGGAGAAUUAGAUGCAAUAGAGGCCAAAUUAUUUUUCAAAGAUAUGAUGUGAAGUUAAAGCUGACAACUGC
This 421-nucleotide long non-coding RNA is filed under the name Physcomitrium patens. RNAcentral describes it as "long non-coding RNA (PPAT_LNC003129)". Lineage: Eukaryota; Viridiplantae; Streptophyta; Bryopsida; Funariales; Funariaceae. The record is from RNAcentral.